GACGAACGCUGGCGGCGUGCUUAACACAUGCAAGUCGAACGGGUCUGCCCUGUUUUUUGCGGGGUGGGUCAGUGGCGAACGGGUGAGUAACACGUGAGUAACCUGCCCCUCACUUCUGGAUAACCGCUUGAAAGGGUGGCUAAUACGGGGUGUUCUGGCUGUGCCGCAUGGUGUGGCUGGGAAAGAUUCACUUUUGUGGUGUUUUGGUGGGGGAUGCGCUCGCGGCCUAUCAGCUUGUUGGUGGGGGGAUGGCCUGCCAAGGCUUUGACGGGUAGCCGGCCUGAGAGGGUGGGCGGUCACACUGGGACUGAGAUACGGCCCAGACUCCUGCGGGAGGCAGCAGUGGGGGGUAUUGCACAAUGGGCGGAAGCCUGAUGCAGCGACGUCGCGUGAGGGAUGGAGGCCUUCGGGUUGUGAACCUCUUUCGCCGGUGAAGAAGGUCCUGCUCUUUGUGGUGGGGUUGACGGUAGCCGGGUUAUGAAGCGCCGGCUAACUACGUG
Molecule: ribosomal RNA, 500 nt
Filed under: uncultured bacterium
Lineage: Bacteria
Description: partial 16S ribosomal RNA
Rfam family: Bacterial small subunit ribosomal RNA
Source: RNAcentral